This 253-nucleotide ribosomal RNA is filed under the name uncultured bacterium. RNAcentral's name for it is "partial 16S ribosomal RNA". It matches the Rfam family "Bacterial small subunit ribosomal RNA", at positions 524 to 776 of the family's 1533-position model. The record is from RNAcentral.
UACAGAGGUGGCAAGCGUUGUUCGGAAUUACUGGGCGUAAAGGGCGCGUAGGCGGUCUUAUAAGUCCCGUGUGAAAUCCCUCGGCUCAACUGAGGAACCGCACGGGAAACUGCAAGGCUUGAGUUCGGGAGAGGGACGCGGAAUUCCGGGUGUAGCGGUGAAAUGCGUAGAUAUCCGGAGGAACACCGGUGGCGAAGGCGGCGUCCUGGACCGACACUGACGCUGAGGCGCGAAAGCUAGGGGAGCAAACGGG